GAUGAACGCUGGCGGCGUGCUUAACACAUGCAAGUCGAACGAGAAGUGGAGACGGAAACCUUCGGGCGGAAGACUUUACUUCGAGUGGCGGACGGGUGAGUAACGCGUGGGUAACCUGCCUCAUACAGGGGGAUAACAGUUGGAAACGACUGUUAAUACCGCAUAAGACCACAGCACCGCAUGGUGCGGGGGUAAAAACUCCGGUGGUAUGAGAUGGACCCGCGUUCGAUUAGCCAGUUGGCGGGGUAACGGCCCACCAAAGCGACGAUCGAUAGCCGAUCUGAGAGGAUGACCGGCCACAGUGGGACUGAGACACGGCCCAAACUCCUACGGGAGGCAGCAGUGGGGAAUAUUGCACAAUGGGGGAAACCCUGAUGCAGCGACGCCGCGUGAGUGAAGAAGUAUUUCGGUAUGUAAAGCUCUAUCAGCAGGGAAGAAAAUGACAGUACCUGAGUAAGAAGCCCCGGCUAACUACGUG
RNAcentral lists this ribosomal RNA (478 nucleotides) under uncultured bacterium. RNAcentral describes it as "partial 16S ribosomal RNA". It matches the Rfam family "Bacterial small subunit ribosomal RNA", at positions 28 to 507 of the family's 1533-position model. The record is from RNAcentral.